Molecule: long non-coding RNA, 1246 nt
Organism: Magallana angulata
Lineage: Eukaryota; Metazoa; Mollusca; Bivalvia; Ostreida; Ostreidae
Exons: 3
Source: RefSeq, a predicted model, not a curated record
UGAUGAUCUUGCCUUAAAACUUAUUUGUUUCUUGAGCAUUUUUAAACGAAUAGAAAAUGUCAUGCAUUUGAUUUCUCAAAAAAGUACCGCCUCCGCAUUUGGGCAGGGCCUUUUUGUUUACCCAGUCAACAACAGUGUGAUCAUUUAAAUAGUUUCCAAUAAACAGAGUGUGCCAUAGCAAAAAAAAAUUUAGAAUAUAAAAUCACAAUGAGUUGUGAUAUCAGCUGACAAUCAGUCGGUGACCCUACAACUCUUAGCGUGCACAGUUCAUGUGAGGUUCUCUAUCCCAGAUUAAGCGAAUCAUUACCCUGCGUAAUAUAUUGGAGCAAUUUCAUUUCUUUGUAGUGUAUGUGAGGAUACUAACACCAUCAGAUAUAUUCUCCAAUUCAAUUAAAUCUCCAUCCCAGCACACCUGAGUUCAUUAACCUCCAGGUAUGCAGGUGAAUUCCUUAUGAUCUUUGAAGCUACUCAGUCAGUGAUGAGUCGAUUCCAGAGCCACACUCAGCAAUAUAGCUUUAAAGUGUAGAAUGUUUACCCAGCACCCUGAACUUGUUGACACAUUGAAGCACAAUACACUAGGUCAGUGCUGUUUGCUUUAUAUGGUCAGCUCUGGUUGACCGUGUAUGGGUGGGGCGUUUGUGAAAGAGAUAACACUGCCUUGGACCUUUCAUUUGAAUAUUGUCAUAGAGAUCUCAAAAACAUCAACAAUAGAGGUUGGAAAGGAAAUUUCAUUAGCAUAUUUAAUGUUGGACUGCAAUAGGAUUUACUAGAAUCUGAUUAGAUCACCACACAGCUUCCAACUGACAACCAGCUUUAAUGGGACAGGGCGAGGGUAGUGGAAAGGGAGGGGACCUGUGUCCCGGCAUCCUGUGGGCGAUCCUGUGGUUUCUGAUCCUGUGGUUCCUAGCCUGGCCUGUGGCGUUCUUUAUAGCCUGGCUGUAUGUGCUCCUGAUACCGUUCUCAGCCUGUAUCGAACCCAUGAAGGGUGUGUGUGAGGCCAUUUUGAAAGUGCUUCAGCUGCCACUGACAUGUGCUGAGAACAUGAUUGCAAUGAAGCCAUUGUGUGGAGGAUAAAAGGACUGACCUUCAUAGGAAAUUAGGACUAGAGGACUUUUACAAAAUUUUGUAUGUGCAACUGUAAUGAACACAAUUGUAUUUUUUAUAAAAAUAUGUUAUCAUACAUGCAUUAGUAAACAUUAAAUGGUUAAAUGCCUCAAAAGGCUGCAAUAAAGUCUAUAUAAAUACC